CUCCCAUAUGGUCGACCUGCAGGCGGCCGCGAAUUCACUAGUGAUUCGUAUUACCGCGGCUGCUGGCACAGAGUUAGCCGGUGCUUAUUCUGUCGGUAACGUCAAAACACUAACGUAUUAGGUUAAUGCCCUUCCUCCCAACUUAAAGUGCUUUACAAUCCGAAGACCUUCUUCACACACGCGGCAUGGCUGGAUCAGGCUUUCGCCCAUUGUCCAAUAUUCCCCACUGCUGCCUCCCGUAGGAGUCUGGACCGUGUCUCAGUUCCAGUGUGACUGAUCAUCCUCUCAGACCAGUUACGGAUCGUCGCCUUGGUGAGCCAUUACCUCACCAACUAGCUAAUCCGACCUAGGCUCAUCUGAUAGCGCAAGGCCCGAAGGUCCCCUGCUUUCUCCCGUAGGACGUAUGCGGUAUUAGCGUCCGUUUCCGAGCGUUAUCCCCCACUACCAGGCAGAUUCCUAGGCAUUACUCACCCGUCCGCCGCUCUCAAGAGGUGCAAGCACCUCUCUACCGCUCGACUUGCAUGUGUUAGGCCUGCCGCCAGCGUUCAAUCUGAGCCAGGAUCAAACUCUAAUCGAAUUCCCGCGGCCG
This 589-nucleotide ribosomal RNA is filed under the name uncultured Gammaproteobacteria bacterium. RNAcentral's name for it is "partial 16S ribosomal RNA". Lineage: Bacteria; Pseudomonadati; Pseudomonadota; Gammaproteobacteria. The record is from RNAcentral.